This 597-nucleotide ribosomal RNA is filed under the name uncultured Bacteroidota bacterium. RNAcentral's name for it is "bacterial SSU rRNA". It matches the Rfam family "Bacterial small subunit ribosomal RNA", at positions 122 to 715 of the family's 1533-position model. Lineage: Bacteria; Pseudomonadati; Bacteroidota. The record is from RNAcentral.
CAACCUGCCGUCUACUCUUGGCCAGCCUUCUGAAAGGAAGAUUAAUCCAGGAUGGCAUCAUGAGUUCACAUGUCCGCAUGAUUAAAGGUAUUUUCCGGUAGACGAUGGGGAUACGUUCCAUUAGAUAGUAGGCGGGGUAACGGCCCACCUAGUCAACGAUGGAUAGGGGUUCUGAGAGGAAGGUCCCCCACAUUGGAACUGAGACACGGUCCAAACUCCUACGGGAGGCAGCAGUGAGGAAUAUUGGUCAAUGGGCGAUGGCCUGAACCAGCCAAGUAGCGUGAAGGAUGACUGCCCUAUGGGUUGUAAACUUCUUUUAUAAAGGAAUAAAGUCGGGUAUGCAUACCCGUUUGCAUGUACUUUAUGAAUAAGGAUCGGCUAACUCCGUGCCAGCAGCCGCGGUAAUACGGAGGAUCCGAGCGUUAUCCGGAUUUAUUGGGUUUAAAGGGAGCGUAGAUGGAUGUUUAAGUCAGUUGUGAAAGUUUGCGGCUCAACCGUAAAAUUGCAGUUGAUACUGGAUGUCUUGAGUGCAGUUGAGGCAGGCGGAAUUCGUGGUGUAGCGGUGAAAUGCUUAGAUAUCACGAAGAACUCCGAUUG